CAGUAGCCACGGUAAUACGAGGGGGGCAAGCGUUGUUCGGAAUUAUUGGGCGUAAAGGGUGCGUAGGCGGUUUGGCAAGUCUGGUGUGAAAUCUUCGGGCUCAACUCGAAGUCUGCAUCGAAAACUGCCGGGCUUGAGUAUGGGAGAGGUGAGUGGAAUUUCCGGUGUAGCGGUGAAAUGCGUAGAUAUCGGAAGGAACACCUGUGGCGAAAGCGGCUCACUGGACCAUAACUGACGCUGAUGCACGAAAGCUAGGGGAGCAAACAGGAUUAGAUACCCCAGUAGUCCCUGUCUCUUAUAC
This 301-nucleotide ribosomal RNA is filed under the name uncultured bacterium. Its description in RNAcentral is "partial 16S ribosomal RNA". It matches the Rfam family "Bacterial small subunit ribosomal RNA", at positions 509 to 807 of the family's 1533-position model. The record is from RNAcentral.